This is a non-coding RNA of Cucumis sativus (cucumber), 218 nucleotides long. The record is from Rfam. Lineage: Eukaryota; Viridiplantae; Streptophyta; Magnoliopsida; Cucurbitales; Cucurbitaceae.
GGGUUUGAGGCAGAGCUCCUUGAAGUCCAAUAGAGGUUUAUGCCAGGUUGAUUGAGCUGCUAAGCUAUGGAUCCCACAGCCCCUAUUGCUAUAUCUAUCAUGUUGUUGUAUAAUAUCUUUAAAGCUGAUAGGCCUGUGGCUUGCAUAUCUCAGGAGCUUCAUCACCUGUUUUUGUUAGAUCCUUGUUUGGAUUGAAGGGAGCUCUACAUCUUCUCUCU